This 377-nucleotide ribosomal RNA is filed under the name uncultured bacterium. RNAcentral describes it as "bacterial SSU rRNA". It matches the Rfam family "Bacterial small subunit ribosomal RNA", at positions 521 to 896 of the family's 1533-position model. The record is from RNAcentral.
UAACACGUAGGAGGCGAGCGUUAUCCGGAUUCACUGGGCGUAAAGCGCGUGCAGGCGGUUUGGUAAGUUGGGCGUGAAAGCUCCCGGCUCAACUGGGAGAGGUCGUUCAAUACUACCAAACUAGAGAAUAGAAGAGGAAGAUGGAAUUCCCGGUGUAGUGGUGAAAUGCGUAGAUAUCGGGAGGAACACCAGUGGCGAAGGCGGUCUUCUGGUCUAUUUCUGACGCUCAGACGCGACAGCUAGGGUAGUAAACGGGAUUAGAGACCCCGGUAAUCCUAGCCGUAAACGAUGUGAACUUGGCGUCGGUGGCUUAAACACCAUCGGUGCCGAAGCAAACGCGAUAAGUUCACCGCCUGGGGACUACGGCCGCAAGGUUA